AUAUAUAUAUUUUAGAGCCUCAAUAGCUCAACCGGCAAAGACUGGACUGUAAACCGAAAGGUCAACGGUUCAACCCGCCCGUUGCACUAUUGUCGUACCUACUCCUAGCACAAGCCUGACGCUUAAUUGGAGAGGAAAGGGGAAUAUUAGUCAUUUAACAUGGCUAAUAUUCUUU
Molecule: long non-coding RNA, 175 nt
Organism: Maniola jurtina (meadow brown)
Lineage: Eukaryota; Metazoa; Arthropoda; Insecta; Lepidoptera; Nymphalidae
Exons: 3
Source: RefSeq, a predicted model, not a curated record